GCCAAGGAAGACUCCAUCCGGACUCCCACGGGAGCCGGACUCCAUCCACGAUGCCAAGAAAGACUCCACCCGGACUCCUACGGGAGCCAGGCUCCAUACACGAUGCCAAGGAAGAUUCCACUCAGACUCCUACGGGAGUCGGGCUCCACCCACGACUUCUACAGCAAGAGCUGAUGGUGGCGAAGCCCGGCCGCCCAACA
This 200-nucleotide long non-coding RNA is filed under the name Elaeis guineensis (African oil palm). Its description in RNAcentral is "long non-coding RNA (EGUI_LNC051073)". Lineage: Eukaryota; Viridiplantae; Streptophyta; Magnoliopsida; Arecales; Arecaceae. The record is from RNAcentral.